AUGGGAAAAACCAUUGUUUCACUUGUUAUAGUUCUCCUUGUUGUGCCAAUAUUUCUAGAUGGUUACAAUGCUGAGGCAGAAAAAAGAUAUAAUCAACUGAAUAAAGAUGAUGGUUUUGUCCAUUUAACGAUCAGACUAAUAUCGCACCUUAUAGCAGUGAUGCUCCUACACCUGAGAGUGGUCCUCUUUUAUGAUUAUUGA
Vicia faba (fava bean) is the source of this 201-nucleotide non-coding RNA. The record is from the annotation of a GenBank genome assembly. Lineage: Eukaryota; Viridiplantae; Streptophyta; Magnoliopsida; Fabales; Fabaceae.